CAAGGAAUAUUGGUCAAUGGACGCAAGUCUGAACCAGCCAUGCCGCGUGAAGGAUGAAGGUCCUCUGGAUUGUAAACUUCUUUUAUCUGGGACGAAAACGGGAUUUUUAUCUCAAUUGACGGUACCAGAGGAAUAAGCACCGGCUAACUCCGCGCCAGCAGCCGCGGUAAUACGGAGGGUGCGAGCGUUAUCCGGAUUUACUGGGCUUAAAGGGUGCGUAGGUGGGCUUAUAAGUCAGUGGUGAAAUCUCCGAGCUUAACUUGGAAACUGCCGUUGAUACUAUAGUUCUUGAAUUAUCUGGAGGUAAGCGGAAUAUGUCAUGUAGCGGUGAAAUGCUUAGAUAUGACAUAGAACACCAAUUGCGAAGGCAGCUUACUACAUAUAAAUUGACGCUGAGGCACGAAAGCGUGGGGAUCAAAC
This 420-nucleotide ribosomal RNA is filed under the name uncultured bacterium. Its description in RNAcentral is "bacterial SSU rRNA". It matches the Rfam family "Bacterial small subunit ribosomal RNA", at positions 355 to 773 of the family's 1533-position model. The record is from RNAcentral.